GGAGGAUUACACUUUUUGGAGNGUAAACUCCUUUUGUUAGGGAAGAAUAAUGACGGUACUCUAUAGGAAUAAGCACCGGCUAACUCCGUGCCAGCAGCCGCGGUAAUACGGAGGGUGCAAGCGUUACUCGGAAUCACUGGGCGUAAAGGACGCGUAGGCGGAUUAUCAAGUCUCUUGUGAAAUCCAACUGGUGAACCAGAUGAACUGC
This 208-nucleotide ribosomal RNA is filed under the name Campylobacter concisus. Its description in RNAcentral is "partial 16S ribosomal RNA". It matches the Rfam family "Bacterial small subunit ribosomal RNA", at positions 403 to 624 of the family's 1533-position model. The record is from RNAcentral. Lineage: Bacteria; Pseudomonadati; Campylobacterota; Epsilonproteobacteria; Campylobacterales; Campylobacteraceae.